AUUAAGGCAAAGCUGAGAUCACAAGGGGUGGGGACAGACAGGUAUUUCUUGAUUUCCAAAUAAUUCCUGUGUACUUUGGCUGAAUCUCUUAAGCUCCCUGGUGCUGCUGAUAUCCAUCUGCAGGAUGGGAGUAAGUGGAUGCAGAAUCUGCAAGCUGCUGUGAGGAUGCACACGCUGAGAUCCCAAGGAACGCUGUUGCCACGGGGUGAGAUGAAUGCUAUAGAGAACGGGGCAAAACCGAUGUGUUUUCUUCACACCUUGCAGCCACCGCUCCCUCACCAGCUCUGUGGACCUGUCCCGUGCAGUCCCAGGUCAGCCGGGGAAGGGGAGGGAAGGGAAGGGGAAAGGGAAAAGGAAAGGGAGAGGGCCAUCGAAAAACACACCACCUUGAGCCUGCAGAGCCGGGCAGGGCGGGAUCGGGAUCAGGCCUGGCCGCCACUCAUUGCCAGGCAACUACGUAAAUAGGCAGGACAACAUUUCGACACCAGGCGUGUCCGUCCCUAGCGUUUACCCCAAUCCCCUCCUGAUUAAAAAAAAAAAAAAAAAAAAAAAAAAGAACAAGAACCAGCAAACAAAACAAACUGCAGCAAAAUGGCUGAAACAUGUUGCAACCAUCUGUGAAAGUCGGGCUCUCAUGACCCGAGAGAGGGGGGAGAAAGCGAGCGAGACAGCGAUUUGAGGGGGGGGAAAGAAGCCCCAGCGAGAGCCGGGCGCGGGUCAGCAGCUGAGGGCAGACAGGGGCCGAGAGAGGCGGCACCUCCGGCACUUCUUACCUUGCGGGCGAGGGAGCUUCGCGCUGGGCUGCCCCGGGAGAGCGAGAGGGCUGCGCGCCUCCCGCGCUCCCCGCCGCGCCCGGGGCUCCUUCCUCAGCCGGCCGGGCGGCUUUCCCUCCUUUUACGACACCCUCCCUGCCUGCCUGCCUCUCCCAGGUGAGCGGCAGAACUGGCUCUGCAGCAGGAAGUGGAAGAGCACGCAGGGCUCGGCGCGGCGGCCGGCGGGAGAGCCUCUGUGAGGGAGUGACACUUGGAGGGAGGCUCAGGGCUCCCCGGCCAUGCCUGCGUGCGGCUCGCCGCCUCUGCCCGGGGAAUGCGGGCGGCCUCUGCGUGAGCACCGCGGAGAAAUAACUCAGGGGGAACGCCGGUGUGGUUCCUAAACGAUGUGCCUCGUCGGGAAAGUCAUCCCUUGCUUUCAGCCCCCGGCCGCUUACUGUCGGUGCCAAAUGUUAAAUCAGCUGUGAUUCAGACUACUGAAGACAAUCACAUGAUGCGUGUAAGAACUAUAUAAAGAACAACAACAACAAAAAAGAUUUCUCGACUGGUUCUUUUAGGUUAGAUUUCUAGACACUUCCAAGUUUCUAUACUCUAAAGGAGCAGAAAGUCGGUUUUCCUACCAGCUGAAACUUCCCCAUUCUCACGGCUCCUGAGAGCCGAGCAGCUCCGGAGAUGCCCGGUGAGCUGUCUCAGGAAAGCCGCUCCGGCUGCUUUAUCCCAGCCCUCAGCACUGUCCUGACCCUCCACUCAGCACAUCCCCCUGCCCAGAAGCUCUUCCUGAUCUCCAGCCUCAUUUUCUUAGUUUAACCCUAGAAGGAGGUUCACUUAGCAGGCUGCAGCCUGGGCACGGCUCCUCAUCCUCCAAGUGACUGUGGGCAGACGCCACUCGCUGCCUCAGUGCCUGGCAGCUCUGCCUGGAAACACAGGGACAUCUUAACCAUCCCCCGAGCUCCUCGCUCUGGCAGUGCCACCGCUGCUCCUUCCUCUGCCC
This is a long non-coding RNA of Camarhynchus parvulus, 1761 nucleotides long. NCBI's taxonomy places the organism in Eukaryota, Metazoa, Chordata, Aves, Passeriformes, Thraupidae. The record is from Ensembl.